GGGCAGGGGAAACACUGGCAAUUCCCUCUGCUCGGGGCGAGGCGAGCGCCGACACCGCAGCCCCGCGGCGGUAGAGGGGGGGAUCCGCUCGCAUCCCGCGGACGCGAAGAGGGCACCCUGAUCCGCUCCGCAUCCCCUGGCGGCAAAGGGAGCAGCCGCCUCGGCUCCGCGCCCCGCGGGGAUGUAAGAGAUGCGCGGAGCACUCCACGCCCGCAAUCCAGACAGGAUAUUUUGAGCCCUCUCUCCCCAAAAAUACCCCGCCAAAACCCAGAAAUCUGCCCCCUCCCUCCAGCUUCGCUCUCCGACAGCCCCCGCGGCAGGAGAGAGAGCGCGGACCUCCCGCAGCCCCACCGAAGUUUCCGCGCCGCUCCGCGGGCGGCGGCGGAGGAGCUCCAGCUUCUUACCCGGCUGGUGGAGCGGGGUCCCGGGGCGGCCUGGAAGCGGCGGCGGCGGCUGCGCGGGGGCGCGGCGGCUUCCUGGGAGCUACAACUCCGCGGCGGCGCCCGGGCGAGCCGCGCGCCUGCGGAGCGGCGGCGAGCGGGGAGGAAAAGAGGAAAUGAGCGGGAGGCGCAUUGGAGGGAGGGAGGGGGAGGAAGGAGCCGUCGCCGAGGGACCAGGGAGAGCGAGGGACAGAGCGCAACUUCCCCGGCGGGGCAGCGGGCGCGCCGGGGGGCGGAGCGCACCGUACCGCCGCUCCGCGGCCGCCCCGCGGCGUGCGCAGCGCCGAGCCCCGCGCGGGGGCCGCCCGCCGCCGCCGCUCCCGCCGCGCCGGACACUUGGUAUCGCCCUGCCCGGCCCCGCCAGGGCCGCCGCGGGCAGGAAGUGCGGGGCCGGGGGGGCAGCGCGGAGAAGCAGCUCCGCGGGGCUGCGCGCCCGCGAGGGGCUGCGCUUCCCCCGCUGGCACUCACUGCCGGUCCCACCGGCACCGCGGGCGCGUGCAUGGGCAGCGGGGCGGGAAAAGUUCUGAUUUUUGAUGCUGGGGGAUUUUUCCUUUUUUUUUUUUUUUUGUUUGUGUGUUUGUGUAUGUGGUUUUUACCUCCAAAACAACUAAGGGAACGCCGGGCAGGGACCUCUCCUGCGGCCUCAGCUCGCCCCAGGCCCUGCACGCAUCCGCUGGCGCGGCUGAAAGUGCCCCGCGCUGGGUGCGCGGGGACGGAGGGAGGACGGCGGCAGCAGUGGCCGCUGGAAGCGAGAGCAGACGCCUCCCAGCACAUGGACCCCCACGCUUCCCUCUGA
This 1236-nucleotide long non-coding RNA is filed under the name Corvus moneduloides (New Caledonian crow). Its description in RNAcentral is "lncRNA (ENSCMUG00000017370.1)". Lineage: Eukaryota; Metazoa; Chordata; Aves; Passeriformes; Corvidae. The record is from RNAcentral.